UACGUAGGGUGCGAGCGUUAAUCGGAAUUACUGGGCGUAAAGCGUGCGCAGGCGGUUGUACAAGUCAGGUGUGAAAUCCCCGGGCUUAACCUGGGAACUGCACUUGUGACUGUACGACUGGAGUACGGCAGAGGGGGAUGGAAUUCCGCGUGUAGCAGUGAAAUGCGUAGAUAUGCGGAGGAACACCGAUGGCGAAGGCAGGUCUCUGGGCUGACACUGACGCUCAUGCACGAAAGCGUGGGGAGCAAACAGG
RNAcentral lists this ribosomal RNA (253 nucleotides) under uncultured bacterium. RNAcentral's name for it is "partial 16S ribosomal RNA". It matches the Rfam family "Bacterial small subunit ribosomal RNA", at positions 524 to 776 of the family's 1533-position model. The record is from RNAcentral.